CAAGCUUUUAAGAGCAGAUGGCGGAUGCCUUGCCAAAGAGAGGCGAUGAAGGACGUACUAGACUGCGAUAAGCUAUGCGGAGCUGUCAAGGAGCUUUGAUGCGUAGAUGUCCGAAUGGGGCAACCCAACUAAUAGAGAUAUUAGUUACUCUAAUUAUUAAUAGAGGGCGAACCUAGUGAAGUGAAACAUCUCAGUAACUAGAGGAAAAGAAAUCAACGAGAUUCCCUAAGUAGUGGCGAGCGAACGGGGAAAAGGGCAAACCGAGUGCUUGCAUUCGGGGUUGAGGACUGCAACAUCCAAGAGAACGCUUUAGCAGAGUUACCUGGAAAGGUAAGCCAUAGAAAGUGAUAGCCUUGUAUGCGACAAGGCGUUCUCAGGUAGCAGUAUCCAGAGUAGGCCAGGACACGAGAAAUCCAGGUUGAAGCUGGGGAGACCACUCUCCAACCCUAAAUACUACUCUUUGAGCGAUAGCGAACAAGUACCGUGAGGGAAAGGUGAAAAGAACCGCAGUGAGCGGAGUGAAAUAGAACCUGAAACCAUCUGCUUACAAUCAUUCAGAGCCCUAUGAUUUAUCAGGGUGAUGGACUGCCUUUUGCAUAAUGAUCCUGCGAGUUGUGGUAUCUGGCAAGGUUAAGCGAAUGCGAAGCCGUAGCGAAAGCGAGUCUUAAUAGGGCGCUUGAGUCAGAUGCUGCAGACCCGAAGCUAAGUGAUCUAUCCAUGGCCAAGUUGAAACGCGUGUAAUAGCGCGUGGAGGACUGAACUCGUACCCAUUGAAACGGGUUGGGAUGAGCUGUGGAUAGGGGUGAAAGGCCAAACAAACUUAGUGAUAGCUGGUUCUCUUCGAAAUAUAUUUAGGUAUAGCCUCAAGUGAUAAUAAAAGGGGGUAGAGCGCUGAUUGGGCUAGGGCUGCUCGCCGCGGUACCAAACCCUAUCAAACUUCGAAUACCUUUUAUCGUAUCUUGGGAGUCAGGCGGUGGGUGAUAAAAUCAAUCGUCAAAAGGGGACAACCCAGACUACCAAAUAAGGUCCCUAAGUUCUAUUCUGAGUGGAAAAAGAUGUGUGGCUACUCAAACAACCAGGAGGUUGGCUUAGAAGCAGCCAUCCUUUAAAGAAAGCGUAACAGCUCACUGGUCUAGUGGUCAUGCGCUGAAAAUAUAACGGGGCUAAGAUAGACACCGAAUUUGUAGAUUGUGUUUGACACAGUGGUAGAAGAGCGUUCAUACCAGCGUUGAAGGUAUACCGGUAAGGAGUGCUGGAGCGGUAUGAAGUGAGCAUGCAGGAAUGAGUAACGAUAAGAUAUAUGAGAAUUGUAUCCGCCGUAAAUCUAAGGUUUCCUACGCGAUGGUCGUCAUCGUAGGGUUAGUCGGGUCCUAAGCCGAGUCCGAAAGGGGUAGGUGAUGGCAAAUUGGUUAAUAUUCCAAUACCGACUUAUGGAGCGUGAUGGGGGGACGCAUAGGGUUAAGCGAGCUAGCUGAUGGAAGCGCUAGUCUAAGGGCGUAGAUUGGAGGGAAGGCAAAUCCACCUCUGUAUUUGAAACCCAAACAGGCUCUUUGAGUCCUUUUAGGACAAAGGGAGAAUCGCUGAUACCGUCGUGCCAAGAAAAGCCUCUAAGCAUAUCCAUAGUCGUCCGUACCGCAAACCGACACAGGUAGAUGAGAUGAGUAUUCUAAGGCGCGUGAAAGAACUCUGGUUAAGGAACUCUGCAAACUAGCACCGUAAGUUCGCGAUAAGGUGUGCCACAGCGAUGUGGUCUCAGCAAAGAGUCCCUCCCGACUGUUUACCAAAAACACAGCACUUUGCCAACUCGUAAGAGGAAGUAUAAGGUGUGACGCCUGCCCGGUGCUCGAAGGUUAAGAGGAUGCGUCAGUCGCAAGAUGAAGCGUUGAAUUGAAGCCCGAGUAAACGGCGGCCGUAACUAUAACGGUCCUAAGGUAGCGAAAUUCCUUGUCGGUUAAAUACCGACCUGCAUGAAUGGCGUAACGAGAUGGGAGCUGUCUCAACCAGAGAUUCAGUGAAAUUGUAGUGGAGGUGAAAAUUCCUCCUACCCGCGGCAAGACGGAAAGACCCCGUGGACCUUUACUACAACUUAGCACUGCUAAUGGGAAUAUCAUGCGCAGGAUAGGUGGGAGGCUUUGAAGUAAGGGCUUUGGCUCUUAUGGAGCCAUCCUUGAGAUACCACCCUUGAUGUUUCUGUUAGCUAACUGGCCUGUGUUAUCCACAGGCAGGACAAUGCUUGGUGGGUAGUUUGACUGGGGCGGUCGCCUCCUAAAAAGUAACGGAGGCUUGCAAAGGUUGGCUCAUUGCGGUUGGAAAUCGCAAGUUGAGUGUAAUGGCACAAGCCAGCCUGACUGUAAGACAUACAAGUCAAGCAGAGACGAAAGUCGGUCAUAGUGAUCCGGUGGUUCUGUGUGGAAGGGCCAUCGCUCAAAGGAUAAAAGGUACCCCGGGGAUAACAGGCUGAUCUCCCCCAAGAGCUCACAUCGACGGGGAGGUUUGGCACCUCGAUGUCGGCUCAUCGCAUCCUGGGGCUGGAGCAGGUCCCAAGGGUAUGGCUGUUCGCCAUUUAAAGCGGUACGCGAGCUGGGUUCAGAACGUCGUGAGACAGUUCGGUCCCUAUCUGCCGUGGGCGUAGGAAAGUUGAGGAGAGCUGUCCCUAGUACGAGAGGACCGGGAUGGAUGUGUCACUGGUGCACCAGUUGUUCUGCCAAGAGCAUCGCUGGGUAGCUACACACGGAUGUGAUAACUGCUGAAAGCAUCUAAGCAGGAAGCCAACUCCAAGAUAAACUUUCCCUGAAGCUCGCACAAAGACUAUGUGCUUGAUAGGGUAGAUGUGUAAGCGCAGUAAUGCGUUUAGCUGACUACUACUAAUAGAGCGUUUGGCUUGUUUU
RNAcentral lists this ribosomal RNA (2888 nucleotides) under Helicobacter pylori Hp P-11. Its description in RNAcentral is "bacterial LSU rRNA". It matches the Rfam family "Bacterial large subunit ribosomal RNA". The record is from RNAcentral. Lineage: Bacteria; Pseudomonadati; Campylobacterota; Epsilonproteobacteria; Campylobacterales; Helicobacteraceae.